This 1030-nucleotide ribosomal RNA is filed under the name Halobyssothecium phragmitis. RNAcentral's name for it is "SSU rRNA". It matches the Rfam family "Eukaryotic small subunit ribosomal RNA", at positions 87 to 1127 of the family's 1831-position model. Lineage: Eukaryota; Fungi; Ascomycota; Dothideomycetes; Pleosporales; Lentitheciaceae. The record is from RNAcentral.
CUGCGAAUGGCUCAUUAAAUCAGUUAUCGUUUAUUUGAUAGUACCUUACUACUUGGAUAACCGUGGUAAUUCUAGAGCUAAUACAUGCUGAAAACCCCGACUUCGGAAGGGGUGUAUUUAUUAGAUAAAAAACCAAUGCCCUUCGGGGCUCCUUGGUGAUUCAUAAUAACUUCUCAGAUCGCAUGGCCUUGCGCCGGCGACGGUUCAUUCAAAUUUCUGCCCUAUCAACUUUCGAUGGUAAGGUAUUGGCUUACCAUGGUUUCAACGGGUAACGGGGAAUUAGGGUUCGAUUCCGGAGAGGGAGCCUGAGAAACGGCUACCACAUCCAAGGAAGGCAGCAGGCGCGCAAAUUACCCAAUCCCGACACGGGGAGGUAGUGACAAUAAAUACUGAUACAGGGCUCUUUUGGGUCUUGUAAUUGGAAUGAGUACAAUUUAAACCUCUUAACGAGGAACAAUUGGAGGGCAAGUCUGGUGCCAGCAGCCGCGGUAAUUCCAGCUCCAAUAGCGUAUAUUAAAGUUGUUGCAGUUAAAAAGCUCGUAGUUGAACCUUUGGCCUGGCUGGCAGGUCCGCCUCACCGCGUGCACUUGUCCGGCCGGGCCUUCUCUUCUGGAGAACCGCAUGCCCUUCACUGGGUGUGUUGGGGACCAGGACUUUUACUUUGAAAAAAUUAGAGUGUUCAAAGCAGGCCUUUGCUCGAAUACGUUAGCAUGGAAUAAUAGAAUAGGACGUGCGGUCCUAUUUUGUUGGUUUCUAGGACCGCCGUAAUGAUUAAUAGGGACAGUCGGGGGCAUCAGUAUUCAAUUGUCAGAGGUGAAAUUCUUGGAUUUAUUGAAGACUAACUACUGCGAAAGCAUUUGCCAAGGAUGUUUUCAUUAAUCAGUGAACGAAAGUUAGGGGAUCGAAGACGAUCAGAUACCGUCGUAGUCUUAACCAUAAACUAUGCCGACUAGGGAUCGGGCGGUGUUAUUAUUUUGACUCGCUCGGCACCUUACGAGAAAUCAAAGUGUUUGGGUCUGGGGGGAGACUG